UCAAAUAUGAAGAUGCAAUAA
Molecule: microRNA, 21 nt
Filed under: Lotus japonicus
Lineage: Eukaryota; Viridiplantae; Streptophyta; Magnoliopsida; Fabales; Fabaceae
Description: lja-miR11085-5p
Source: miRBase by way of RNAcentral